GGUUCAGGACGAACGCUGGCGGCGUGCCUAACACAUGCAAGUCGAGCGGAGUCGGUAAGAGGAAGUUUCGGAUGGAAUCUUAUUGAUUUAGCGGCGGACGGGUGAGUAACGCGUGAGCGACCAACCUUGCACAGGGGGAUAACGGACCGAAAGGUUCACUAAUACCGCAUGAGACCACGGUGUUGCAUGACACAGAGGUCAAAGGAGCAAUCCGGUGCAAGACGGGCUCGCGUCCGAUUAGGUAGUUGGAGGGGUAACGGCCCACCAAGCCUAUGAUCGGUAGCCGACCUGAGAGGGUGAUCGGCCGCAUUGGAACUGAGAUACGGUCCAAACUCCUACGGGAGGCAGCAGUGGGGAAUAUUGGGCAAUGGGGGGAAAAACCCCUGACCCAGCAACGCCGCGUGAAGGAAGAAGGUUUUCGGAUUGUAAACUUCUGUCCUUGGUGAAGAGAAGAAGACGGUAGCCAAGGAGGAAGCCCCGGCUAACUACGUGCCAGCAGCCGC
RNAcentral lists this ribosomal RNA (503 nucleotides) under uncultured bacterium. RNAcentral describes it as "bacterial SSU rRNA". It matches the Rfam family "Bacterial small subunit ribosomal RNA", at positions 21 to 518 of the family's 1533-position model. The record is from RNAcentral.